This 1260-nucleotide long non-coding RNA is filed under the name Homo sapiens (human). Its description in RNAcentral is "HSALNT0127471". Lineage: Eukaryota; Metazoa; Chordata; Mammalia; Primates; Hominidae. The record is from RNAcentral.
GUUAAAUUUUAGCAAAUGAAUAUGAGGUGACAGCCAUGCAAUCACAUGGCAUCAUUUAUUAGCACUAGUUUGUCUUAAAACUUGAACACAGAGAGUCAGGGCCAGCCAAAUGGAAAUUGUCUGCUCAUAGGAGAAGCCCCGGGGCCAUACUCUGAAAGAGGUAGCUUGGCGACAGACAAAUUUUCUAAGAGAGACAGUAUGGGGAGAAGAAAAGGCAAAGGUCCAAGACUCAAAAAAUGAAUGAAUGUUAAAACAUCAGAAGAGCAAGAUAAACGAGUUAAGAAGAUGGCACAGGAGCCGCAGAGAGGUGGAAGAUGGCUUGGAAGAGUGAAAACAGUUUUGCUGAGGACAGGUAAGGUAUGGGUCAUUCUGAUAUUAUCUAAUGUUAUCUAUAUAUCAUUACCAUAUAUACCAUAUCAUUAUCUAAUGUCAUCUAUAUAUCAUUACCAUAUAUACUAAUUAUCUAAUGUUAUGAUUUUUUUAGUUAAAAAGCAAUACAUUAGAUAGUGUAAUAACCAUUUAAUUUGGUUUAUAAGUUACAGAAAAAAAUUUUUUGUUACUUUGAAGUCACCAUUUAUUUUAUCAAAUGAUGUAAUUUUACCUCUCCAAGUAAUUUAAACUCCCCAGUCCUUAGAAUCUAGGUAUAAAUGAAGCUCAGAGCUCUCUUUCAAUUGGAUAAUUAGCUCACGAGUGGUUGCUCUAUUUCUCACUCACCUCAUUCACAUACAGGGCUCAGCUCUGAAUUGCUUCUGGCUCAUUCCAAAAGCCAAGUGCUCAAACAUGAAGACUUCUUUUUAUUGGAAGUAUUUGAAAGGGCAUGCCAUAUUCCAAAUAUGAAUUCCAAAUAUGCUUUAAAUAAUGGCAGCAUCAAUAAAGUCCACUUUUCUCUAAGACUAUUUUUUAAGAGGCCAAAACAUUUGAAUGAAGCAGUUGAUUUCUAAAAAGUGACUUUUAAUGUUUCUUGUACCUUCAAUCAUACCUAGACACUGAAUGGAUUUCAGAAAGUCAUAGGGCCUGGGUGGAAGCCCCAACACAACAGCAGAGUGGAAUCAUGGAUUGGCUAUUCUAUAAUCCAUUCGCCGUGACUGAGGGUGAGAAGUGGAAUUCUAUUUGAGGCUAUAUUUGAGAGCCAUCUUUGAAAAUGAAGAAGUAGUUUGGGCUCUGGGUAUCUUUUCUUUCCUUUUUUUCCCCUUUUUUUCUGAUACAGCCUUCAGCUGAAUGAAAUGUGGGCUUUGAGAUCACCUGUGAUAGCAUUCUCUA